RNAcentral lists this ribosomal RNA (426 nucleotides) under uncultured Acidimicrobiales bacterium. Its description in RNAcentral is "bacterial SSU rRNA". It matches the Rfam family "Bacterial small subunit ribosomal RNA", at positions 354 to 796 of the family's 1533-position model. Lineage: Bacteria; Bacillati; Actinomycetota; Acidimicrobiia; Acidimicrobiales. The record is from RNAcentral.
GUGGGGAAUCUUGCGCAAUGGGCGAAAGCCUGACGCAGCAACGCCGCGUGGGGGAUGAAGGCUCUCGGGUUGUAAACCCCUUUCAGGAGGGACGAAAAUGACGGUACCUCCAGAAGAAGCCCCGGCCAACUACGUGCCAGCAGCCGCGGUAACACGUAGGGGGCGAGCGUUGUCCGGAUUUAUUGGGCGUAAAGAGCUCGUAGGCGGUUUGGCAAGUCGGGUGUGAAAUUUCGAGGCUCAACCUCGAAACGCCACUCGAUACUGCCAUGACUGGAGUCCGGUAGAGGAGUGCGGAAUUCCUGGUGUAGCGGUGAAAUGCGCAGAUAUCAGGAGGAACACCAACGGCGAAGGCAGCACUCUGGGCCGGUACUGACGCUGAGGAGCGAAAGCGUGGGGAGCAAACAGGAUUAGAUACCCCUGUAGUCC